This 301-nucleotide ribosomal RNA is filed under the name uncultured bacterium. Its description in RNAcentral is "partial 16S ribosomal RNA". It matches the Rfam family "Bacterial small subunit ribosomal RNA", at positions 509 to 807 of the family's 1533-position model. The record is from RNAcentral.
CAGCCGCCGCGGUAAUACGUAGGUGGCAAGCGUUGUCCGGAAUUAUUGGGCGUAAAGGGCUCGCAGGCGGUUUCUUAAGUCUGAUGUGUAAGCCCCCGGCUCAACCGGGGAGGGUCAUUGGAAACUGGGAAACUUGAGUGCAGAAGAGGAGAGUGGAAUCCCACGUGUAGCGGUGAAAUGCGUAGAGAUGUGGAGGAACACCAGUGGCGAAGGCGACUCUCUGGUCUGUAACUGACGCUGAGGAGCGAAAGCGUGGGGAGCGAACAGGAUUAGAUACCCCAGUAGUCCCUGUCUCUUAUAC